AGGGAAGAUCGAGCCAGUAGUCCUGCCAUUGCUGUGGUUCGAACAGAGCGGGAUGAUGGGUGGCAAGACCCUGAACACGUUCUACACGCAGCUGGUGCUGAUGCCCCAGGUUCUUCACUACGCGCAGUAUGUGCUGCUGGGGCUUGGAGGCCUCCUGCUUCUGGUGCCCAUCAUUUACCAACUGCGCAGCCAGGUAAGUAGGCGGGACGGCCACGCCUGGGACUCUGCUCCGGUUGCAGCCGGCAUUUAUCUCCUGCAGCUAGCUCUCUCUGUUCUACCUGUCUGUCGCAUCCUGCACUAACUUUUCUCUACAAGUCCUGGAAGUCCCAGGACCCUCCCGGGUGGGUGCUGAGCUGAGACAGGUACGCAAGCCAUUUGACCAGCAAGUGGGUGCACUGUGUGAAGUGCCUGCUGAAGGUGGAGGUGGGGACUGGGGGGGGUGGCCUGGUUAGCAAAGCAAAUGAAAGCCAAGAAGAGAAAAGAUCAUUUUGGGGUUGGAGAUUUAGCUCAGUGGUAGAGCGCUUGCCUAGCAAGCACAAGGCCCUGGGUUCGGUCCCCAGCUCUGAAAAAUAGAAAA
This 577-nucleotide long non-coding RNA is filed under the name Rattus norvegicus (Norway rat). RNAcentral describes it as "long non-coding RNA NONRATT007461". The stretch from base 497 to 565 matches the Rfam family "tRNA". Lineage: Eukaryota; Metazoa; Chordata; Mammalia; Rodentia; Muridae. The record is from RNAcentral.